RNAcentral lists this ribosomal RNA (343 nucleotides) under uncultured bacterium. RNAcentral's name for it is "bacterial SSU rRNA". It matches the Rfam family "Bacterial small subunit ribosomal RNA", at positions 28 to 365 of the family's 1533-position model. The record is from RNAcentral.
GACGAACGCUGACGGUGUGCUUUAGACAUGCAAGUCGAACGAGAAAGCCCUUCGGGGUUAGGUAAAGUAGCGAACGGGUGAGUAACACGUGGGCAAUCUGCCCCUCGCAGGGGGACAACCGGAGGAAACUCCGCUAAUACCCCGUAAGUUCAAAGGGAGGCAUCUCUCUUCGAAGAAAGGUAGCUUCGGCCAUCCGGCGAGGGAUGAGCCCGCGGUGCAUUAGCUAGUUGGUGGGGUAACGCCUACCAAGGCGACGAUGCAUAGCUGGUCUGAGAGGAUGAUCAGCCACACUGGGACUGAGACACGGCCCAGACUCCUACGGGAGGCAGCAGUCGGGAAUCUU